Molecule: ribosomal RNA, 306 nt
Filed under: uncultured bacterium
Lineage: Bacteria
Description: bacterial SSU rRNA
Rfam family: Bacterial small subunit ribosomal RNA
Source: RNAcentral
GACGAACGCGAGCGGCAGGCCUAAUACAUGCAAGUCGAACGGUAAGGUCUCUUCGGAGAUACACGAGUGGCGCACGGGUGCGUAACGCGUAUACAACCUACCCUUUAGAGGAGAAUAACUUCUGGAAACGGGAGCUAAUACUCCAUAUCCACUUAGUAUCGCAUGGUACAGAGUGAAAAUGCUCCGGCGCUAAGGGAUGGGUAUGCGUAACAUUAGCUAGUUGGUGAGGUAAUGGCUCACCAAGGCAACGAUGUUUAGCUGGUCUGAGAGGAUGAUCAGCCACACGGGCACUGAGACACGGGCCCG